GAAAUGCGAUACGUAAUGUGAAUUGCAGAAUUCAGUGAAUCAUCGAAUCUUUGAACGCAACUUGCGCUCUCUGGUAUUCCGGAGAGCAUGCCUGUUUGAGUGUCAUGAAAUCUCAACCAUUAGGGUUUCUUAAUGGCUUGGAUUUGGAGGUUUGCCAGUCUAACUGGCUCCUCUUAAAGGAGUUAGCAAGUUUGACUAUUGCUAUCUGGCGUAAUAAGUUUCGCUGGAAUGGUAUUGUGAAGCGUGCUUCUAAUCGUCUUUGGACAAUUACUUUGACUCUGGCCUCAAAUCAGGUAGGACUACCCGCUGAACUUAA
This 316-nucleotide unclassified non-coding RNA is filed under the name uncultured Apiotrichum. RNAcentral describes it as "sequence contains ITS1". The stretch from base 1 to 105 matches the Rfam family "5.8S ribosomal RNA", at positions 50 to 154 of the family's 154-position model. Lineage: Eukaryota; Fungi; Basidiomycota; Tremellomycetes; Trichosporonales; Trichosporonaceae. The record is from RNAcentral.